UCGGGAAUUUUGCGCAAUGGACGAAAGUCUGACGCAGCAACGCCGCGUGAGGGAUGACGGCCUUCGGGUUGUAAACCUCUUUUGUCAGGGACGAUGAUGACGGUACCUGACGAAUAAGCCACGGCUAACUACGUGCCAGCAGCCGCGGUAAUACGUAGGUGGCAAGCGUUGUCCGGAUUUACUGGGCGUAAAGAGCGCGCAGGCGGUCGCUCAAGUCGCGUGUGAAAGCCCCCGGCUCAACUGGGGAGGGUCACGCGAUACUGAUCGACUCGAAGGCAGGAGGGGGAGGUAGUGGAAUUCCCGGUGUAGUGGUGAAAUGCGUAGAUAUCGGGAGGAACACCAGUGGCGAAGGCGACUACCUGGCCUGUUUCUUGACGCUGAGGCGCGAAAGCUAGGGGAGCAAACGGGAUUAGAUACCCCGGUAGUCCUAGCCGUAAACGAUGGACACUAGGUGUUGGUGGUAUCAACCCCGCCAGUGCCGAAGCUAACGCAUUAAGUGUCCCGCU
RNAcentral lists this ribosomal RNA (506 nucleotides) under uncultured Acidobacteriota bacterium. RNAcentral's name for it is "bacterial SSU rRNA". It matches the Rfam family "Bacterial small subunit ribosomal RNA", at positions 355 to 873 of the family's 1533-position model. Lineage: Bacteria; Pseudomonadati; Acidobacteriota. The record is from RNAcentral.